AUCCAUCUGAUGAGUUCCAAAUAGGACGAAAUGCGCAUCCUGACUGGAU
This 49-nucleotide non-coding RNA is filed under the name Trichobilharzia regenti. The record is from RNAcentral. Lineage: Eukaryota; Metazoa; Platyhelminthes; Trematoda; Strigeidida; Schistosomatidae.